This 335-nucleotide long non-coding RNA is filed under the name Nicotiana benthamiana. Its description in RNAcentral is "long non-coding RNA (NBEN_LNC040331)". The record is from RNAcentral. Lineage: Eukaryota; Viridiplantae; Streptophyta; Magnoliopsida; Solanales; Solanaceae.
UAGUUUUAGAAGAUUUAAAUAAGUGUCUGUAGAUGCAAAGUAGUGUGUUUUUUCUUUUUUUUUGUUUGGUGGAGAUCUACUCCUAUCCUAAGUAGAUUGCUUUUUUUGAGUGUGUUUGCAUGUAUCACUAGUAGUCUUCAAUGCUUCCGUUGUUAACUUUGUAAUGUUGUGUUUAGUUGUGUGGCUGGUCUAUGUGUGUGUAAGCUUCCUAUUUGAUGUAUUCCCAUGUAACGGCUAUUAAUGAAUAAAAAGUGCUGGUCUGCUUUGUUAAAUAUUCCUUAUGUAUACGUAAUUAAUAAUCCCAGAGGUAAUCCGGAUCUUGAGUGAACCUCAAN